Non-coding RNA from Myotis lucifugus (little brown bat), 435 nucleotides. NCBI's taxonomy places the organism in Eukaryota, Metazoa, Chordata, Mammalia, Chiroptera, Vespertilionidae. The record is from the annotation of a RefSeq genome assembly.
AUGGCCUGGACUCCUCUGCUCCUCGCGCUCCUCUCUCACUGCACAGGGUCCCUCUCCCAGCCUGUGCUGACUCAGCCGCCCUCCCUCUCUGCAUCUCCGGGAGCCACAGCCAGACUCACCUGCACCCUGAGUGGUGCUUCCUAUCCUCUCAGUGCUUUCUGGAUAAACUGGUACCAGCAGAAUCCAGGGAGCCGUCCCCGGUACCUCCUGGGCUAUCAUUCAGACUCAAGUAAGAAACAGGGCUCCGGGGUCCCCAGCCGCUUCUCUGGAUCCAAAGACGCCUCGGCCAAUGCGGGGCUCCUGCUCAUCUCGGGGCUGCAGCCUGAGGACGAGGCUGACUAUUACUGUCAGGUUGGAGAAAAUACUGAUUCCCACAGUGACACACACAGAUGGGGAAGUGGGACAAAAACCUCGGCCUCCCCACGGGCCUCAUGA